Molecule: transfer RNA, 85 nt
Filed under: Fodinibius salipaludis
Lineage: Bacteria; Pseudomonadati; Balneolota; Balneolia; Balneolales; Balneolaceae
Description: Aliifodinibius salipaludis tRNA
Rfam family: tRNA
About the family: Transfer RNA (tRNA) molecules are approximately 80 nucleotides in length. Their secondary structure includes four short double-helical elements and three loops (D, anti-codon, and T loops).
Source: Rfam by way of RNAcentral
GCCCAAGUGGCGGAAUUGGUAGACGCGCAUGCUUCAGGAGCAUGUGGGGAUCUUCCCCGUGGAGGUUCGAGUCCUCUCUUGGGCA